Molecule: transfer RNA, 67 nt
Filed under: Planopleura kaempferi
Lineage: Eukaryota; Metazoa; Arthropoda; Insecta; Hemiptera; Cicadidae
Description: tRNA-Tyr
Source: RNAcentral
AUUGAAAUGACUGAAUUAGGUAAUAAACUGUAAAUUUAUUCAUGAAUAGAUAAAUAUUCUUUCAAUA